Molecule: ribosomal RNA, 383 nt
Filed under: Acremonium sp.
Lineage: Eukaryota; Fungi; Ascomycota; Sordariomycetes; Hypocreales; Bionectriaceae
Description: partial small subunit ribosomal RNA
Rfam family: Eukaryotic small subunit ribosomal RNA
Source: RNAcentral
AGCUCCAAUAGCGUAUAUUAAAGUUGUUGUGGUUAAAAAGCUCGUAGUUGAACCUUGGGCCUGGCUGGCCGGUCCGCCUCACCGCGUGCACUGGUCCGGCCGGGCCUUUCCCUCUGUGGAACCCCAUGCCCUUCACUGGGCGUGGCGGGGAAACAGGACUUUUACUUUGAAAAAAUUAGAGUGCUCCAGGCAGGCCUAUGCUCGAAUACAUUAGCAUGGAAUAAUAAAAUAGGACGUGCGGUUCUAUUUUGUUGGUUUCUAGGACCGCCGUAAUGAUUAAUAGGGACAGUCGGGGGCAUCAGUAUUCAAUUGUCAGAGGUGAAAUUCUUGGAUUUAUUGAAGACUAACUACUGCGAAAGCAUUUGCCAAGGAUGUUUUCAUUA